RNAcentral lists this unclassified non-coding RNA (253 nucleotides) under air metagenome. RNAcentral describes it as "partial contains small subunit ribosomal RNA, internal transcribed spacer 1, and 5.8S ribosomal RNA". The stretch from base 1 to 46 matches the Rfam family "Eukaryotic small subunit ribosomal RNA", at positions 1786 to 1831 of the family's 1831-position model. The record is from RNAcentral.
AAGUCGUAACAAGGUUUCCGUAGGUGAACCUGCGGAAGGAUCAUUAAUGGGUUACCGGGCUUCGCGUCCGACCUCAAACCCUGUGUUAAGCUACCAUGUUGCUUUGGCGGGCCCGCCUUUCACGGGCCGCCGGGGGCCUUUAGGCCUCUGGUCUGUGCCCGCCAGUAGCCUAUUCAAAUUCUUUUUAACCGUGUCGUCUGAGUUAUAAAGUUAAAUUAUUUUAAAACUUUCAACAACGGAUCUCUUGGUUCUG